AGAGUUUGAUCCUGGCUCAGGACUAACGCUGGCGGCGUGCCUAACACAUGCAAGUCGAACGGUUUCUUUUUGGUAGCAAUAUUAAAAAGAGAUAGUGGCGAACGGGUGAGUAACACGUAGGAUAAUCUGCCUUUCAGACGGGGACAACUCAGGGAAACUUGUGCUAAUACCCGAUGAGACCACAGCAUGGGAUUGUCGUGAUCAAAGGUAUGCGAAAGCUUACGCUGAAAGAUGAGUCUGCGUCCUAUCAGCUAGUUGGUGGGGUAAUGGCCUACCAAGGCGAAGACGGGUAGCCGGCCUGAGAGGGUGAACGGCCACACUGGGGCUGAGACACGGCCCAGACUCCUACGGGAGGCAGCAGUGAGGAAUUUUCCGCAAUGGGCGCAAGCCUGACGGAGCGACGCCGCGUGAGGGAUGACGGCUUACGGAAAGUAAACCUCUUUUAUUAAGGAAAAACGUUAAUUUACGAAUAAUAAGUUAGCUCGGGCUAACUACGUGCCAGCAGCCGCGGU
RNAcentral lists this ribosomal RNA (512 nucleotides) under uncultured Streptomyces sp. Its description in RNAcentral is "bacterial SSU rRNA". It matches the Rfam family "Bacterial small subunit ribosomal RNA", at positions 8 to 521 of the family's 1533-position model. The record is from RNAcentral. Lineage: Bacteria; Bacillati; Actinomycetota; Actinomycetes; Kitasatosporales; Streptomycetaceae.